UACGUAGGGUGCAGGCGUUAAUCGGAAUUACUGGGCGUAAAGCGUGCGCAGGCGGUUUGUUAAGACAGAUGUGAAAUCCCCGGGCUUAACCUGGGAACUGCGUUUGUAACUGGCAAGCUAGAGUGUGGCAGAGGGGGGUGGAAUUCCACGUGUAGCAGUGAAAUGCGUAGAUAUCAAGAGGAACACCUGAGGUGAAGACGGGUUGCUGGGCUGACACUGACGCUGAGGCGCGAAAGCCAGGGGAGCAAACGGG
Molecule: ribosomal RNA, 253 nt
Filed under: uncultured bacterium
Lineage: Bacteria
Description: partial 16S ribosomal RNA
Rfam family: Bacterial small subunit ribosomal RNA
Source: RNAcentral